UGGGGAAUAUUGGACAAUGGGCCAAAGCCUGAUCCAGCCAUGCCGCGUGUGUGAAGAAGGUCUUCGGAUUGUAAAGCACUUUAAGUUGGGAGGAAGGGCAGUAAGCGAAUACCUUGCUGUUUUGACGUUACCGACAGAAUAAGCACCGGCUAACUCUGUGCCAGCAGCCGCGGUAAUACAGAGGGUGCAAGCGUUAAUCGGAAUUACUGGGCGUAAAGCGCGCGUAGGUGGUUCGUUAAGUUGAAUGUGAAAGCCCCGGGCUCAACCUGGGAACUGCAUCCAAAACUGGCGAGCUAGAGUAGGGCAGAGGGUGGUGGAAUUUCCUGUGUAGCGGUGAAAUGCGUAGAUAUAGGAAGGAACACCAGUGGCGAAGGCGACCACCUGGGCUCAUACUGACACUGAGGUGCGAAAGCGUGGGGAGCAAACAGG
Molecule: ribosomal RNA, 429 nt
Filed under: Pseudomonadota bacterium
Lineage: Bacteria; Pseudomonadati; Pseudomonadota
Description: Proteobacteria bacterium partial 16S ribosomal RNA
Rfam family: Bacterial small subunit ribosomal RNA
Source: RNAcentral